GAUGAACGCUGGCGGCGUGCCUAAUACAUGCAAGUCGAGCGAACGGACGAGAAGCUUGCUUCUCUGAUGUUAGCGGCGGACGGGUGAGUAACACGUGGAUAACCUACCUAUAAGACUGGGAUAACUUCGGGAAACCGGAGCUAAUACCGGAUGAUAUUUUGAACCGCAUGGUUCAAAAGUGAAAGACGGUCUUGCUGUCACUUAUAGAUGGAUCCGCGCUGCAUUAGCUAGUUGGUAAGGUAACGGCUUACCAAGGAAACGAUGCAUAGCCGACCUGAGAGGGUGAUCGGCCACACUGGAACUGAGACACGGUCCAGACUCCUACGGGAGGCAGCAGUAGGGAAUCUUCCGCAAUGGGCGAAAGCCUGACGGAGCAACGCCGCGUGAGUGAUGAAGGUCUUCGGAUCGUAAAACUCUGUUAUUAGGGAAGAACAUAUGUGUAAGUAACUGUGCACAUCUUGACGGUACCUAAUCAGAAAGCCUCGGCUAACUACGUG
Molecule: ribosomal RNA, 497 nt
Filed under: uncultured bacterium
Lineage: Bacteria
Description: partial 16S ribosomal RNA
Rfam family: Bacterial small subunit ribosomal RNA
Source: RNAcentral